AGACUUGAAGGUGAAAACCGGGGCUUCGGGAGUUUAACCGCAGAGUUUCAGCACGAGAGAUGGAAGAAUGGAGCACCUAAACCCGGCACCCCAAGAGUUCUAUUUAUAGGGGGGUUUCUGGUGUGCCACGUCGUGGCUAAGGUUGGCCACGUUGUGGGGAGCAAGCCUUAUCCCCUUCCGUUGAUUGGACGCCCUCAGUCACUUGCCGGGUCGCGGCCAAGCUGUGCCACGUCGUGGGGGCCUGACAGCCUCGGAUUUUGGACCCCGAACUUGUAAAAUCCGUAACUUUCGCAUACGAGCUCCGUUUUCGACGUUCUUUAUAUGCACGCGUAGCUAAAAAUAUGAUCUACAACUCUCGUUUAGACUUCAUCGGCAAAUUUUGACUUUAUUUUUAAUUAUUUAUUUUUAACGGGCCGGGACACGAAAAGUCCGUUAAAAAUCCAUAACUUCUUCAUCCGAUGUCCGUUUUCGUCAGACUUUUCGCCGUUGCGCUACUAAUGUUGAGACCUUAGAUUCUCAUUUAGGUUGUUUUGGUCAAAAGUAUCUCGAGCUCUAUUUCGAGUUUUUAGCUGUCUACUGCUAUACCCGAAUCUUGGAAAAAUCAUAACUUCCUCAUACGAAGUCAGAUUUGGACGUUCUUUUUAUGUACGCUCACGGUUUGAGGUUAUCUAUAACUUUUAUUUAGAUACUUAAGGCUAAAAACUAUUGUAUUGAAACUUCGCGUUUUUCGUUUAAUCGGUGUUGCCGGUUUUGUCGGGAAUUUUAGAAUGGUUAUAACUUCCUCGUUAUAACUCGGAUUUUUGUGUUCUUUAUAUGUAUGAAAACCUUGUUACGAUAUUUACCACUUAGUAUACUCAAUUACGGUUUUAUAAAAGUUUAAAUUUUGACCUGAAUUUUGCUGUUGUUACAUUAUCCCCCCGUUAGAGAGAAUUUCGUCCCGAAAUUCGCAUUUUGACUGGGACUCCAAUUCUUGCGGGCAGGCGAGAGUGCUUCUGGUCGAUUUGUUCCUCUUGUUCCUUUAUGAAUCUAGAUCCUAAUGUGCGUGUUUCAGCGGACCUUCAUUACUCCGCCUAUCACUUCGACCGAUCGGGAUCGUGUGGUUUUGGGUUUAUUUACUUAUGUUCUUCUAAAUGUUAGAAUAUUCACUCGAUGCAUUAGGGCAGCUACGUUUUGAAGUUCAUGGUUGAAUUCACUCCUAGUUUCUGAGCUUGGAUUUGACUCGUUGUAUGUGUGGUAUUUCUAAAUGAUCUGUUGGGGGAUACUACGGGAAGGUUGUAAAGAUAUAGUACUCCUCACAUGAGUACCUCGGGGUUUUGAAACUUGAAACCAAAUGGGGUUAGUAUCGGGGUUGUCGUGAUAAAUCGAUCGAGUUUCGUUAGUCGAUGGUUAAAGUGAAAGGGUCUACUGGUAUGGGUAGGGCCACACCAAUCCACGUCGAAUGCCGACGUCGGUACUUCUCAUUGUAAGACGUUCGUUAGUGGGAUAGUGCAUUCUACGUAUGUGUUCUCAGUGCUUUUUAGUCUAUCUCUAUUAUUACUACUAUGAAAGUUUUGUUUAAUGAUUGGGGUGUUUAUUCGAGUAGAUUUUUAAACUUGUGACUCACGGAACUCCUCUGUGUCCCUACUAUCAAAUGGAAUGUAUGUAAAUAAGUUAUCGAGGAGAAAUGUACCCGGAAUAACCGUGGGGUCUGCAAUAGCCUCCUCUUGGCCCAUUGCGAAUACUCAGCCUCCUCCACUAGCAUUCUUGUUGUUUUCCUUCGGGCAGUUCCGUCGGAAGUGUCCCGUUGCUCCGCACUCAUAGCAAGUACGGUCUACUCCCACAUUUGCGGCUGGAGCGGUUGAUUGGGCUAUUUCCCUGCAGUAGCGGACGGUGUGUCCCUUACUAUUGCACCUAAUGCAAUGCAUUUCACGACAGGGUCCGUGAUGAUGAAAGUUGCAUCGGUUGCACUUAGGCUGGUNUCGUUGUACGCCUUGUGGGUGUAGGGGUGGUAGGGAUAGUAACAGAAUGAGCUAUCACUAACUGUUGCCUCUUGGGGUUCUCUUGCAUGGUUUCCCCCUUUCUCUUAUCCCAGGGUUUCCUUCGGUCCUCUAUAUCCUUCGGUGGCUCCGAGACAGCGGUAAUAGUACCCUGUUUAACACCGUGAUCAAUCAAUCGUUGAGCCAAGCACUUCACGCUGUCAAACGUGAUUGGGUUAGAGGCCAGGACAUGCCCUUGGAUCUGGGGUGAUAAUCCCUAAAUGUACCUCUCCACCUUCUUCGAUUCCGGGUUUACCAUACUUGGGCACAAGGCUGACAAAUCACUUAACCUAGCCGUGUAAGCGAUUACGUCCGAUCCGGUCAUCCUUAGGUUCCAUAGCUCAUGCUCUAAUUUUUGGACUUCGCCCCUCGGGCAGUAUUCUUCCAGCAUCAAGAUUUUGAGAUCUUCCCAGCUCAUGGCAUUAGCAACUGGGAGAGAUAGGGCUUCCACAUGUCCCUUCCACCAGGUGAGGGCUCGAUCAGAGAAAGUGCAAGCGGCGAACUUGACUUUGCUGGUCUCUGGGCAUGCACAUAUCUCGAAGACCGUUUCGGUCUUCUCGAACCAUUGCAUAAGUGCAAUGACUCCUCCUUCCCCGUUGAAAGUUUUUGGCUUUGCAUUCGAAAAUUCCUUGUAUGUGCAUUCUCUGAUAUAACCAUGGCCAGUGCCAUGAUUCAAGUGGUUGGUACUGCUUCCAGUUCCACCAGCUCCGUUAGUGUUUAUCUGCGUAAGAGCAGCUGCUACUGCUGCAGUGAUAGCAGCCUGAACCAUGACAGGAUCAUAUUGUGGGGGUGGUGGCGGCGGCGUAGGUGUUGCGUUGUUGAUGCGACGUGCAGAUCUACGAGGCGGCAUCGCUGCCAAAGAAAUAACAAUGAAGACAAUAAGUCUUUUAAUGAUUGUAUGGUUUGGGUAGUAGGGGUCUCCUGCUAGGUGGAAAUCCGGCCAUUGUGUUUGUACGAGAAUAGGGAGAUAAGGAUUGUCUAGAACUAAGGCACAUAAGGUUGACAUCAAAGUUAAACUAUCGUAUGCAUAAAAUACUCCUAUAGUAUUCUAAAUGUUAUGUUUGAUUCUAAAGUUUAUAAGUUUGGUAAGUUUUAAAUUUGUUGUCCAUUGCAGACACUCCUUGGCAUACGUUAGUCGGCUCUUGGACAAAUAUAGUUGAUCAGGCUAUAUUCUUCCCAGUUCCGAUUACAUGUCCCAAGGCAUACCUGCACUGCACAACUUAUUUAUAAUACUUCUAUAUUGUUUUAAUUAUGAUACUGACCAUGUUAUUAAUAUGAAAUGAAUGCAUGCCUACUUUACAAAAACUAAAUAAAUUUAAUUUUAAAAGUAUGACUCUUACUCAGAGUGUUUUUGCCCAGUUGUGUUUAUAGUUGUAUACCAAAAAUGGUUUUGAUAUACUUAAUUCACUAUAAACAAUGCUCUGAUACCAAUCUGUCACACCCCCAAACCAGAACGGCGGAAACGUUCGGGGGCGGAGGACGUCAUGUCAAAUAUCAUAACAAUUGAAUAGUAAAGAAAGUACACACCACCAUAAUAUAAAUAUAUUUGAAAAGUUUACAUGAUUGUAUAUGUUACAUGUUUGCAAAAGAAAUCAAAUACAAUAUGGUGAUCCAAAAUAUGUUACUAACGCCAGCGCGUUAGUCUUCAAAAGUAGUUGCUACCUGGUCUAGCGGUUUCCUGAGAAUACAAGUUAUUUCAAAGAAAAAGUGUCAACAUUUAAGUUGGUGAGUUCAUAAGUGGUGUUUUGAGAAAAUGUAUGCCAUUCGAAAGUGCUUGUAUGUUUUCCAGAAAAUCCCUUAUUUUCUAUUAGAUGUAUGAAAUGAGUUUGAAAGAUUGUUGUAUGUACUAUAUGUAUUUGAACCAGGAAAAUCCCUUAUUUUCCUAAAAGUGAAAUGCAGUCUCAAAUGACCAAGACUGUAAGCUAUAAGAAACUAUGACAUGCUCAAAAGAAUGAUGUUGUAAAUCGUUAUUGUACAAAAUGAAUGUAUUUGAACCAGGAAAAUCCCUUAUUUUCCUAAAAGUGAAGUGCAGUCUUAUUGUUAAGUAAAACUAGUUGUGGAAGUGUUUUAACCUGAGUUUUGAUCAUGCCGAUAAUACCCUAGAAUAUAGUUAUUACCCCUCGAGCAUGAUUGAGUUAAGUAUUACUACGUGCAUGAGUCAUUGUUUCCGCGUGUUGUGAGUUCCUCAUAACCAUACUAGACGCAGUACCUAAUGUUGACGUUUGUCACCCCAAAUGACGGACUGUAGCUAACAGUCAGGGUGCGGAGUUGUCAGCCCCGUAUAGAUCUAUACACACUUGUCACGCUCUCCCUCCAGGAGACUCUGGUUAUAGGUGAGGACUUUCGUUUGGUACAAACAAAGCCAUAUGCCAUCACAUGAUUGCUAACAACAAGUUCACGAGUAAUAUGAUGAAAAUCGUUCGUAUGAAAUGAUUUCGUUUUCUACCGUGUUACAAAAACGUGAUGAUGAGUUGAGUUUUCUUGUAAAAGCAUCAUGUUAUAGUUGAAAUGGUUACUCUUGAUAUGAUGUAGUAUGCAAACGUAUAAAUAAAACCUAUUUCUAUUUAUAAAACAUAUUGUAUCCCAAGAGGGUAAAGUUGUGUUGUGAGGUGUUUUGCAUGAUAAUAACUUCAUAAGAUAGUUUAAAACAACAGUAUGAAAAGUAUAUAAAAAGAUCGAUGUUUCACACGAUUUUAGUUGUGUGUUUACUUGUAUUCCCCCCCUUAAAAGUGUUUCAAAAGCAUUUAAAAAGCAUUUAAAGUGUGGUUGUAGGGGUAUGAACUCACUUGAUUGAAGUGGUUGAUUUGAAGUAGUCGAGAGGAGAAUCGAGCAGAACUUCGACAGGAAGAGUUGGAAACGCGGGAAAAUAUCGGGAUUCUCGGGAAUCUCGGGAAUCUCGAGAACACAAAACCUUCCUUCGGGACUUGAAGGUGAAAACCGGGGCUUCGGGAGUUGAAUCGUAGAGUUUAAGCACGAGAGAUGAAAGAAUGGAGCACCUAAACCCGGCACCCCAAGAGUUCUAUUUAUAGGGGCAUUUCUGGUGUGCCACGUUGUGGCUAAGGUUGGCCACGUCGUGGGGAGCAAGCCUUAUCCCCUUCCGUUGAUUGGACGCCCUCAGUCACUUGCCGGGUCGUGGCCAAGCUGUGCCACGUCGUGGGGGCCUGACAGCCUCGGAUUUUGGACCCCGAACUUGUAAAAUCCGUAACUUUCGCAUACGAGCUCCGUUUUCGACAUUCUUUAUAUGCACGCGUAGCUGAAAAUGUUGUCUACAACUCUUGUUUAGACUUCAUCGGCAAAUUUUGAUUUAUUUUUAACGAGCCGGGACCCGAAAAGUCCGUUAAAAAUCCAUAACUUCUUCAUCCUAUGUCCGUUUUCGUCAGACUUUUCGCCGUUGCGCUACUAAUGUUGAGACCUUCGAUUCUCAUUUAGGUUGUUUUGGUCAAAAGUAUCUCGAGCUCUAUUUCGAGUUUUUAGCUGUCUACUGCUGUACCCGAAUCUUAGAAAAAUCAUAACUUCCUCAUACGAAGUUAGAUUUGGACGUUCUUUUUAUGUACACUCACGGUUUGAUGUUAUAUAUAACUUUCAUUUAGAUACUUAAGGCUAAAAACUAUUGUAUUGAAACUUUGCGUUUUUCG
This 5650-nucleotide long non-coding RNA is filed under the name Lactuca sativa (garden lettuce). Its description in RNAcentral is "long non-coding RNA (LSAT_LNC002297)". Lineage: Eukaryota; Viridiplantae; Streptophyta; Magnoliopsida; Asterales; Asteraceae. The record is from RNAcentral.